UACGUAGGGUGCAAGCGUUAUCCGGAAUUAUUGGGCGUAAAGAGCUCGUAGGCGGUUUGUCGCGUCUGCUGUGAAAACCCGAGGCUCAACCUCGGGCCUGCAGUGGGUACGGGCAGACUAGAGUGCGGUAGGGGAGAUUGGAAUUCCUGGUGUAGCGGUGGAACGCGCAGAUAUCAGGAGGAACACCGAUGGCGAAGGCAGAUCUCUGGGCCGUAACUGACGCUGAGGAGCGAAAGCGUGGGGAGCGAACAGG
Molecule: ribosomal RNA, 253 nt
Filed under: uncultured bacterium
Lineage: Bacteria
Description: partial 16S ribosomal RNA
Rfam family: Bacterial small subunit ribosomal RNA
Source: RNAcentral